This is a long non-coding RNA of Ficedula albicollis (Collared flycatcher), 1733 nucleotides long. The record is from Ensembl. Lineage: Eukaryota; Metazoa; Chordata; Aves; Passeriformes; Muscicapidae.
UUUUUUUUUUUUCCUGUUGCUUUUCAGUCUCUGAAUCUGCAGAGUGACAGAAUCCUGGAAUGGUUUGGGUGGAAGGGCCCUGACAGAUCAUCCAGUUCCAGCCCCAACAGCCCUGUCCAGCCCGGCCUUGGGCACUUCCAGGGCUGGGGAACCCCUCACCUCUCCAGGAUCACCCAUCCCGAUUUUCCACCUUUCCUCAUCCCGAUUUUCCACCUUCCCUCAUCCCGAUUUUCCACCUUUCCUCAUCCUGAUUUUCCACCCUUCCUCAUCCAGAUUUUCCACCUUUCCUCAUCCAGAUUUUCCACCUUUCCUCAUCCCGAUUUUCCCCCUUCCUCAUCCCGAUUUUCCACCUGUCCUAAUCCCGAUUUUCCACCUUCCCUCAUCCCGAUUUUCCACCCUUCCUCUUCCCGAUUUUCCACCUUCCCUCAUCCCGAUUUUCCACCUUUCCUCAUCCUGAUUUUCCACCCUCCUAAUCCCGAUUUUCCACCCUUCCUCAUCCCGAUUUUCCACCUUUCCUCAUCCAAAUUUUCCCCGCUUCCUCAUCCCGAUUUUCCACCCUUCCUCAUCCCGAUUUUCCACCUUUCCUCAUCCAAAUUUUCCCCGCUUCCUCAUCCCGAUUUUCCACCCUUCCUCAUCCCGAUUUUCCACCUUUCCUCAUCCAAAUUUUCCCCGCUUCCUCAUCCCGAUUUUCCACCCUUCCUCAUCCCGAUUUUCCACCUUUCCUCAUCCAAAUUUUCCCCGCUUCCUCAUCCCGAUUUUCCACCCUUCCUCAUCCCGAUUUUCCACCUUUCCUCAUCCAAAUUUUCCCCGCUUCCUCAUCCCGAUUUUCCACCCUUCCUCAUCCCGAUUUUCCACCUUUCCUCAUCCAAAUUUUCCCCGCUUCCUCAUCCCGAUUUUCCACCCUUCCUCAUCCCGAUUUUCCACCUUUCCUCAUCCAAAUUUUCCCCGCUUCCUCAUCCCGAUUUUCCACCCUUCCUCAUCCCGAUUUUCCACCUUUCCUCAUCCAAAUUUUCCCCGCUUCCUCAUCCCGAUUUUCCACCCUUCCUCAUCCCGAUUUUCCACCUUUCCUCAUCCAAAUUUUCCCCGCUUCCUCAUCCCGAUUUUCCACCCUUCCUCAUCCCGAUUUUCCACCUUUCCUCAUCCAAAUUUUCCCCGCUUCCUCAUCCCGAUUUUCCACCCUUCCUCAUCCCGAUUUUCCACCUUUCCUCAUCCAAAUUUUCCCCGCUUCCUCAUCCCGAUUUUCCACCCUUCCUCAUCCCGAUUUUCCACCUUUCCUCAUCCAAAUUUUCCCCGCUUCCUCAUCCCGAUUUUCCACCCUUCCUCAUCCCGAUUUUCCACCUUUCCUCAUCCAAAUUUUCCCCGCUUCCUCAUCCCGAUUUUCCACCCUUCCUCAUCCCGAUUUUCCACCUUUCCUCAUCCCGAUUUCCCCCCCUUCCUCAUCCCGAUUUUUCCCUCCAUCUGCACCUGGGGACGGUGCUUACCAACACCUUCUGUCUGCACCCCAAACCCAACGAUGGUUUUAGGGAAAUUCUGGGAACUCGGAGCACGGCAGGUCCCCGCAUCCCCCUGGAAUUCUCGGAACGGUGCGUGGCCGUCAGGGGGCACUGGGCUGGGGGGGAGGAAGGGCUGAGGGAUCAAUUCUGCACCGCCGGCACCUCCUGCCCUUGGGCUGGGCCCAGGACAGAGAGCUGCAGACACGGAGGCACCAGGCAGGGAAUAAAUAAACUGAUCCC